This is a non-coding RNA of Phrynosoma platyrhinos (Desert horned lizard), 72 nucleotides long. Lineage: Eukaryota; Metazoa; Chordata; Lepidosauria; Squamata; Phrynosomatidae. The record is from the annotation of a GenBank genome assembly.
GUCAGUGUAGCAUAGUGGUUUGAGUGUUGAACUACAACUGAGAAGACCAGGGUUUGAUUCCCAGCUUGGCCA